UUAGCAUAUUAGUGAGCGGUGUGCAAGAAACUAAAAAGGAUUCUUGUAGUAAUUGCGAAUGAACAAGGAAAAGUUCAUAAUGAAAAUUGGGGCUUUGUGGUCUUGAAUUGUGUUUGACAGAUGCACUGCCAAUGGAAGCGUAGAUGGAAGCCAUUUGGAAAAAUGCAUUAAUGAUGGUGAGAGUCCUGUGUGUCAUUUACAGUUUUCUGUGCACGGUGUGCGUUCUAAGAUUCACGUUCCUUGGGAUUGGAACGCAAAGUGGGUGGUAGAUUUCAUUCAAAGCUAAAUAGUGGAUUGAGACCGAUAGUAAACAAGUACCAUGAGGGAAAGGUUAAAAGGACUUUGAAAAGAAAGUUAAACAGUGUCUGAAAUUGCUGAAAAGGAAGCAGAUGUAACCAAUUCGUUCUUUUCAAGAUUGUCAUGUACAAGCGUGAGUGCUGGCUGCAUCAACGCAAGUGUGGCAGCUGAUUCAAAUCUGAUUGUGCAUGGUGAUUCUUGCUUUGCGUGUCAAACAUCAUUUUGCAAUCAAGGAACACAUGGAUCAUAUGGACGUUUGCUUGCGUGUGAACAAAUGUUUUUUGUAGACAUCAAUUGUGGAUUGUCAUUGUGCGUGGAUGGUUUGGUUUUUGAUUGCGUUCUCACCGUGUGUGUGCGUGUAUCAAUAAACUUUGGUUUGACUCAAAAACAUGACAANNNNNNNNNNNNNNNNNNNNNNNNNNNNNNNNGACCAAGGAGUCUAACACAUGUGCAAAUUCUUGGGUGUGCAAGCCUGUUUGUGAAAUAAAAGUGAUUUGCUGUCACAUAUGCAACAGCAACUAACCGAUCAAUUGUGAGAGGUUUGAGUAUCAGCAUAUUUGUUAAGACCCGAAAGAUGGUGAACUAUGCCUGAGAAGGGUAAAUUCAGGGGAAACUCUGAUGGAAGCUCGUAGCGAUACUGACGUGCAAAUCGUUCGUCGUACUUGGGUAUAGGGGCGAAAGACUAAUCGAACCAUCUAGUAGCUGGUUCCCUCUGAAGUUUCCCUCAGGAUAGCUGGAAUUGCACAGUUUUAUCAUGUAAAGCGAAUGAUUAAAGGAAUCGGGGAUGUGUUGUCUUCGACCUAUUCUCAAACUUUAAAUGGGUACGAUCCAGUGGUUGCUUUUGUGAACUUCGGGGAUAAAUGACAAUUCUAAGUGGGCCAUUUUUGGUAAGCAGAACUGGCGAUGAGGGAUGAACCUGACAUUGUGUUGAAGUGCUCAAUUGCUCGCUCAUCAGGUACCAUAAAGGGUGUUGGUUCAUUUAAACAGCAGGACGGUGGUCAUGGAAGUCGAAACCCGCUAAGGAGUGUGUAACAACUCACCUGCCGAAUGGACUGGCCCCGAAAAUGGAUGGCACUCAAGCGAGUGACUGAUACACAAUCAUUGAUGUAAUUUUACACAUCUGUGAGUAGGAGGGCAUGGGGGUUCGUUGUGCAACUUUAGGUGCAAACC
Molecule: ribosomal RNA, 1467 nt
Filed under: Carinadinium ovatum
Lineage: Eukaryota; Dinophyceae; Gonyaulacales
Description: partial large subunit ribosomal RNA
Rfam family: Eukaryotic large subunit ribosomal RNA
Source: RNAcentral